Molecule: non-coding RNA, 1130 nt
Organism: Salmo salar (Atlantic salmon)
Lineage: Eukaryota; Metazoa; Chordata; Actinopteri; Salmoniformes; Salmonidae
Source: RefSeq, a predicted model, not a curated record
GUUUUGUUGCUAAGGAUUCCACGACGCGGUUAGCCUUUACGGCUGGGACUGCAAGUUUGUGUCCCUUUUUUGCGUGGAUUCCGCGAGUGCUAGCUGGCUGUACUACAGACACCUGUCAUCGUCGUGGGAAAGACUCAUUGUUAUCUUUUUGAAAAACAACUGGUUGCAGUAAAGAGCCAAUCUGGAUACUAAGGAGAUCCUGAGGGAAAUCGACGAGUACCAGCAGCUUUAUGCUAUGGAGGAACAACAUACUCCAUCAUGGAAAGCCAACCACCUCACAAAAUAACUUUAACCCAACAAAAAAAAGAAAAACAGAUAAAUCUACAGACACGGACGAUUUACUUACCAUUGAGGUAGAGGCUAGUGCUCUGGCUGGAAUCCAUGCAACACUGGAAAAGUUGUGUGAGGAGGUAGCAGGGCUGAGGGGGAGUUUGGAGUUCAGCCAGAGUGAAAUUCUCAUGCUCCAAAGAGAAAACAAGACACUCACAGCCAAGGUAACAAUCCAUGAUUCCAACAUGGAUUGUCUACUCAGGGAAAACAGGGUGAUGAAGGAGUCGCUACUAGACAUACAAAGCCGUAGGUUGCGCGAAAAUAUUUUUUUCUGGGAUUACUGAGGACGCAUCCAAUGAUCCAGAGGGCGUGAUCAGAGAAUUCAUGGAAUCCGCCUUGAAACUUCCUAUAGAGACUGUAAACAAGGUGGCUUUCCACCGAGUACACAGACUUGGAGCUCGGAGCAACAAGACCAAGGGUCCCUGACCGAUCAUCGCAAAAUUUGAACAAUUUGAACACAGUCUCAAUUACCAAUUUCCAAGGGAGAUAAACGAACGUCGUAAAGAGACUGUAUCCGGUACAAAGACAACAAAGGGAGAAUGGAAUCGUCUAGCUUGGAUGGAGGAGGAAACAAAGGGAAGGAGUACAGUAGUUAUCCAGCCUGCUGACUAAGAAAUUUCCUGAAACAUGUCAAUGACCUGAUGCAUGGCCUGUACCGACGUGCUUGGCCACCCACUCAGUUACCAGUGACCUAUUCUGACAUAUCCCAGGGAAUGGAGAGAGCAGAACCACGACUCCUUAAAUCCAUAUUAAUUGACAUAAGGAAGUCAAAGCGGACACCUACGAAGAUGACAUCUCAG